AAAUGAAUUGACGGGGACCCGCACAAGCAGCGGAGCAUGUGGUUUAAUUCGAAGCAACGCGAAGAACCUUACCAAGACUUGACAUCGUAUGACCGCCAUAGAGAUAUGGUUUUCCCUUCGGGGACAUAUAGACAGGUGGUGCAUGGUUGUCGUCAGCUCGUGUCGUGAGAUGUUGGGUUAAGUCCCGCAACGAGCGCAACCCUCAUAAAUAGUUGCCAAUAUUAAGUUAGGAACUCUAUUUAGACUGCCGUGGAUAACACGGAGGAAGGUGGGGAUGACGUCAAAUCAUCAUGCCCCUUAUGUCUUGGGCUACACACGUGCUACAAUGGCUAUUACAAAGAGUUGCCAGCCGGUAACGGUGAGCGAAUCUCAUAAAGAUAGUCUCAGUUCGGAUUGUGGGCUGCAACCCGCCCACAUGAAGUCGGAGUUGCUAGUAAUCCCGAAUCAGAAUGUCGGGGUGAAUGCGUUCCCGGGUCUUGUACACACCGCCCGU
Molecule: ribosomal RNA, 493 nt
Filed under: uncultured bacterium
Lineage: Bacteria
Description: bacterial SSU rRNA
Rfam family: Bacterial small subunit ribosomal RNA
Source: RNAcentral